RNAcentral lists this ribosomal RNA (255 nucleotides) under Lestidiops pacificus. RNAcentral describes it as "partial 16S ribosomal RNA". It matches the Rfam family "Bacterial large subunit ribosomal RNA", at positions 1944 to 2288 of the family's 2925-position model. The record is from RNAcentral. Lineage: Eukaryota; Metazoa; Chordata; Actinopteri; Aulopiformes; Paralepididae.
GACCGUGCAAAGGUAGCGCAAUCACUUGUCCUUUAAAUGAGGACCUGUAUGAAUGGCAUCACGAGGGCUUAGCUGUCUCCCUUAUCCCGUCAAUGAAAUUGAUCUCCCCGUGCAGAAGCGGGGCUUCUACCAUAAGACGAGAAGACCCUAUGGAGCUUUAAACAACCAAACGGCCUACCUAGGCUGGUUCCACAUAAUUGGACCGACCCCCAUUGGUGCUACCCCGUUUUAUGUUUUCGGUUGGGGCGACCAUGG